Molecule: long non-coding RNA, 709 nt
Filed under: Numida meleagris (helmeted guineafowl)
Lineage: Eukaryota; Metazoa; Chordata; Aves; Galliformes; Numididae
Description: lncRNA (ENSNMEG00000020298.1)
Source: RNAcentral
UCUGUAGCAACACAAAGUGAGGCAGCGCUUAACACUCUUACCUUGUCCAAGUUCAACACAGUGCUCUGUUAGUGUUUCAAAAUAUGAUUGAUGGUGUGGGUAUAUGGCUGGGACAGGUCAAACUGCCUUUCUGGUGAUGGGAUGGAGCAGAUUGUGUGGACUUGGAACCAUCUCUGGCAUUGCCUAUCUCACUGCAAGAGUAUGCAAAAGCUUCAAGGUGUACAAUUUGCCCAAGAAAAGGGCUAAAUACUCAUUGGCUGGUGUGUAUCCACCAUGUCUGGUAGCUAAACCAGCUUGUAAUGGGAUGUGGAUGCCUUAUAGCACAGCCACAGGUCAUGUGACAGCACCUACCCAGGUGGGAGAAGAUAGAAGGUGCCAAGAGGUGGUGGGUUCUGCAGCUGGUGUGCAGGGCCAAGAGGAGCAACGGAGAUCUGAGCCUGUAGAUGUGAUAGAUCCCAAAGGAGCCGUGCGAAGGAGCCCGUGCUGCUGGAGGACUGCACCUUGCCAAAUCGUCUUGGCAGCCGCAUCCAUGCAGCCCAUCCAAGAGGGGGCAUUUUAUGGAAUGAAAUAUCUAACAGGAGUAUUGAAUCGAUCAUUGCUGAUGGUCUGGCAAAUCUGGCCUGCUGGGUUUUCCAGAAUGUUAUGGUCACAAAUCUUCCUAACUCUCAAGUCUGAUUGCAGUGUUUAUUUAAAACACUCCUCCUUUUAG